Molecule: long non-coding RNA, 1015 nt
Filed under: Equus caballus (horse)
Lineage: Eukaryota; Metazoa; Chordata; Mammalia; Perissodactyla; Equidae
Description: lncRNA (ENSECAG00000044120.1)
Source: RNAcentral
CUUUAUAUUUCGAGUCGUUAGAGAGAAUGACAAUGAUUUUCUAAGUCGAUGUUUGGAUGCUGAAAUUAGGAUGGUGCAACAGGGGCAUGGUGCCACGGGCUGGGUAUGGCAGCCCCUCAGGAGGCAGAAGCAGGUUCAAACCCCCCCCAACCAACGAGAGACACGUGCAGUUCAACAAAACACGAAGGCUUCCCCAAGGCCAGACACAAUGGCAGCUGAUAAAGUUCGUGGAUUCCUUGGCUGUGAAUAAGCACAAUAGAGAAAGACACCCAGGGUCCUAGUGGCUCCCGGUUGAUGAGCGAGGACAAUGGUCUGGCAUUUUUUAACAGUAGAGUCCAGCGAUGGGCAAGGGCUGGAGGUCCUGGAGUGGGAGGUCCCAGCUUUGGAUCAGGCUUGCCGGAGGACCGUGGCCAAUGUCUGUCUGGACACCAGCUACAGGGCAUGGGUGGAAGACUCGGAGAGGGAUACUCAAACGGACUAAAAAGACCUCAAAAGGGUAAAGGAUGGGGCCCUGUUCAAAUAAUGACUGAAGGAUGAUAAACGUUAGCAAGAGUUUAUGAAUUAAUGAAGAGCAAGCCAAGGAGCUGUUCACUCUCCUGGUCGGGGGAGCUGGGCAGGGGCGCUCGUGGUCACAUGAGGUGCUGCCACGGGGCUGGGAGAGCCACUCGAGUCGCUGACCUCGUGGUGUCCCAUCCACUCUGCCUUCUAGAACUCUGUGUAGCCUCUUGCUGUGGAUUUCACCCUUUGUCCCUCCUGGGGCUCCUCCCUCUGUCCAGGGCCACACGCGCAGGAGGCGGGAACGAGUGGGGGAGUUCGGGCUUUUCCCAGCAGCUCACCUGGAAGGCUGCUUUCUGACGUGAGGACUCAGUUUCCUUCUGCAUGUUCUGCCUUUCUCCGAAGCCCAGCGCCCUCCGCUGUCCGAUCCGUCCCAGGUUCUGUCAAAUGAUGGUUUAGCUGGCGGUUCCUCCCAGCUCUUGAACUUACUGCUCAACUGGGCCACAGGACUGCCAGAGCC